This 136-nucleotide ribosomal RNA is filed under the name Propithecus coquereli (Coquerel's sifaka). The record is from RNAcentral. Lineage: Eukaryota; Metazoa; Chordata; Mammalia; Primates; Indriidae.
GUCUAUGGCCAUACCACCCUGAACAUGUCUGAUCUCAGAAGCUAAGGAGGGUCAGGCCUGGUUAGUACUUGGAUGGGAGACAGUCACAGGCCCUCACUGUACUGGUUGUCCUGAGCGAGGCACUUGCGCGCAGACA